GACGAACGCUGGCGGCGUGCUUAACACAUGCAAGUCGAACGGACAGGCCCUGCUUUUGUGGGGUGCUCGAGUGGCGAACGGGUGAGUCACACUUGAGUAACCUGCCCUUGACUUUGGGUUAACUUCAGGAAACUGGGGCUAAUACCGCACUGGACCUCCUGCUGCAUGUUGGGGGUUGGCCUGUUUCGGCGGUUGGGGAUGGACUCGCGGCUUAUCAGCUUGUUGGUGGGGUAGUGGAUUACCAAGGCUUUGACGCGUAGCCGGCCUGAGGGGGUGACCGGCCACAUUGGGGAUGGGAUACGGCUCAGACUCCUACGGGAGGCAAGAGUGGGGAAUAUUGCACAAUGGGCGGAAGCGUGAUGCAGCAACGCCGCGUGCUGGAUGACGGCCUUCGGGUUGUAAAGCGCUUUCGCCUGUGACGAAGCGUGUGUGACGGUAAUGGGUAAAGAAGCACCGGCUAACUACGU
This 467-nucleotide ribosomal RNA is filed under the name uncultured bacterium. Its description in RNAcentral is "partial 16S ribosomal RNA". It matches the Rfam family "Bacterial small subunit ribosomal RNA", at positions 28 to 506 of the family's 1533-position model. The record is from RNAcentral.